GCUGCAGAGAUUGCAAGACUUGUUGGAUUGCACUUGAUGUGCUUUGAAUUGGUUGCAAUAAGGGAGUCUCUUGAGGGAUUUCUGAUAUUUGGGAUGUUGGAAUAUUAAACAAAAAAGGAGAGCUAUCUGGGCUAUCCAUGGAUAGUGAUCUCAAUGAAGAGGAAGAUGAUGAAGGCCGGUUUGGAUCAACCGCCUGGGAAAGUUCUCUCAGUGGAGAUUGCUGAUGAGGAAUGUCUUCUGGAAACAAACUCCUCAUCGCGUUUUCCAUGUUAAUUUGAGUCAUCCCAUUAGACCAGCCCAUUUCAAUUUCUCCGCUCC
This 318-nucleotide unclassified non-coding RNA is filed under the name Hevea brasiliensis (rubber tree). The record is from RNAcentral. Lineage: Eukaryota; Viridiplantae; Streptophyta; Magnoliopsida; Malpighiales; Euphorbiaceae.